This 1318-nucleotide long non-coding RNA is filed under the name Vulpes vulpes (red fox). RNAcentral's name for it is "lncRNA (ENSVVUG00000015707.1)". The record is from RNAcentral. Lineage: Eukaryota; Metazoa; Chordata; Mammalia; Carnivora; Canidae.
AUGGCUGCGUCUUCCUGUCACUGUGCUCCCCCACGGCCCACCCCGGCACAUUGUGCAGCACUACAUUCUGUGAGUCUCUUCCAUUUCACAGCAAAAUUUCUAAUGAUAAGGUUACACUGUGCAAUUAUGAUAUCUAAAUUCCAAUUUAAAAUAAUUGGUAUUUUCUAUCCCCCCCAGGGGGCGGGGCGCACAAGCUCCCAGAAACAAGAGAUCGUGGUAUAUUUUCGCCAGUCCUCCCCGGAGGACCUCAGCCUGGCUCCUGGGAGACACCCCGAGGUACACACUGGCCCAUCUGUGAAGAGAGCCAUCCCAGCCUGAUGCUGUUUCCAUGACAUCAUAGUGGCCUGCAUGAUCACACAGGAUCUAAAGUCACAAAGCAACUGUUCAGGAAGAACUGAGCAGCUCACACACUUCUCUAGUUUUUUCCCACACUAGAGUUCAUGCCCUCCACAGAUGACUCUGGUCUCGAGACCCCAAACUUACAUUGAAAAAAAAAAAAAAUCAGUAACGAUGUUUCUCCUCCUUCCUCCUAAGAAACUCCACACAAUGUAGGCUCUCAUCAGUGACUCUUGCCAAGUGCCACAGAAUCUGACCUCCCAUGCCGGUUUUCCCUAUGAAGCCUUCCACAGGCCAUCUACAUGCUGUCAAGGGAGAGCUCUUCCAGAAGGCUCUUCAAAUGACACCCACAUGCAGUCCUGAGAUGUCCUCCUUGGUAAAGCAUGCCCUUUAUUUUACUGAAAUUGGCCUCCUCAAAUAUCUCUUAACAUGAGAUAAUAAGCAAGUCUCUUAGCAAGCUAAUGAGCAUCCAUUGCCCAGGAUGCUUGCUGUUUACUCCCUCCAUAUCUCCUAUCCCCUUGCCCUACAGCUUCAGCUGCUUCACCUCUGCUUGGGGUUACCUCUGCUCCCCAAAGAGCUCCCAUGACCCCUUGUCCCCAGAAAAGUCACGCUGACUAUGCAGCCAUUCCCUGCAGUAUCCUCUGUGAUUGGCAGUGUUAGGAUUUUGCAAAGCAUCUUCUUUGAAAGAGGGAACCCACUGUCAUUCAUGCAUAUGGGUAAAUUCUGCAUGUUUUGAGAGAGGGAGUUUGUUUCCUGCUGAUCUUGCAAACAAGAAAGCAUAAACAUGAAAGUGGUCUGCGCCUAUCACACAGAUACAAGAGAGUCGAACACGGGUGAAGGCUUGAAGGCCUUUGGUACCAAAAACUAACUGGUAAAACCCUGGAUGAGUCCAAAUGGGCCCAUUUUCAUGAAACUGUAGCAGAAUGAUUCUAGGCACUGAAGUCAGACACUGCCUUCCAAUCCCAGCCUGACUACUCCCUAA